UUUAUUUGUUCCACCAUCGCGAAGGUAGAGGUAUUGUUUUCAGUCGUGUUUGAUUGUGCAUGGACAAAGUAUCUCAAGAACCGUUGGAUGGAUUCAGAUGAAACUUUCAGGGAUGUUUGGCCUCAUGAUUGGCACAAAAUGAUUUGAUUUUGGAAUCGAUCCAGU
Long non-coding RNA from Octopus sinensis (East Asian common octopus), 165 nucleotides. RefSeq lists it as uncharacterized. The record is from RefSeq and is a predicted model, not a curated record. Lineage: Eukaryota; Metazoa; Mollusca; Cephalopoda; Octopoda; Octopodidae. The transcript has 3 exons.